UACGUAGGUCCCGAGCGUUGUCCGGAUUUAUUGGGCGUAAAGCGAGCGCAGGUGCUUUAUUAAGUCUGGUGUAAAAGGCAGUGGCUCAACCAUUGUAUGCAUUGGAAACUGGUAGACUUGAGUGCAGGAGAGGAGAGUGGAAUUCCAUGUGUAGCGGUGAAAUGCGUAGAUAUAUGGAGGAACACCGGUGGCGAAAGCGGCUCUCUGGCCUGUAACUGACACUGAGGCUCGAAAGCGUGGGGAGCAAACAGG
RNAcentral lists this ribosomal RNA (252 nucleotides) under uncultured bacterium. Its description in RNAcentral is "partial 16S ribosomal RNA". It matches the Rfam family "Bacterial small subunit ribosomal RNA", at positions 524 to 776 of the family's 1533-position model. The record is from RNAcentral.